CGGUAGAGAGAAGCUUGCUUCUCUUGAGAGCGGCGGACGGGUGAGUAAUGCCUAGGAAUCUGCCUGGUAGUGGGGGAUAACGUUCGGAAACGGACGCUAAUACCGCAUACGUCCUACGGGAGAAAGCAGGGGACCUUCGGGCCUUGCGCUAUCAGAUGAGCCUAGGUCGGAUUAGCUAGUUGGUGAGGUAAUGGCUCACCAAGGCGACGAUCCGUAACUGGUCUGAGAGGAUGAUCAGUCACACUGGAACUGAGACACGGUCCAGACUCCUACGGGAGGCAGCAGUGGGGAAUAUUGGACAAUGGGCGAAAGCCUGAUCCAGCCAUGCCGCGUGUGUGAAGAAGGUCUUCGGAUUGUAAAGCACUUUAAGUUGGGAGGAAGGGUUGUAGAUUAAUACUCUGCAAUUUUGACGUUACCGACAGAAUAAGC
This 429-nucleotide ribosomal RNA is filed under the name Listeria monocytogenes. Its description in RNAcentral is "bacterial SSU rRNA". It matches the Rfam family "Bacterial small subunit ribosomal RNA", at positions 67 to 491 of the family's 1533-position model. Lineage: Bacteria; Bacillati; Bacillota; Bacilli; Caryophanales; Listeriaceae. The record is from RNAcentral.